Molecule: non-coding RNA, 89 nt
Organism: Trametes meyenii
Lineage: Eukaryota; Fungi; Basidiomycota; Agaricomycetes; Polyporales; Polyporaceae
Source: the annotation of a GenBank genome assembly
GCCGGGAUAGCUCAGCUGGGAGAGCAACAGACUGAAGUGGUUUAGCAUCGGAUUUCUGGAGGUCGCGUGUUCAAUCCACGCUCCUGGCA